This 230-nucleotide ribosomal RNA is filed under the name uncultured bacterium. RNAcentral's name for it is "partial 16S ribosomal RNA". It matches the Rfam family "Bacterial small subunit ribosomal RNA", at positions 524 to 753 of the family's 1533-position model. The record is from RNAcentral.
UACGGGGGGGGCAAGCGUUGUUCGGAAUUACUGGGCGUAAAGGCGCGUAGGCGGCCUUCUAAGUCGGACGUGAAAUCCCUCGGCUUAACCGAGGAACUGCGUCUGAUACUGAAAGGCUUGAAUCCGGGAGAGGGAUGUGGAAUUCCAGGUGUAGCGGUGAAAUGCGUAGAUAUCUGGAGGAACACCGGUGGCGAAGGCGGCAUCCUGGACCGGUAUUGACGCGUGAGGCG